This 73-nucleotide transfer RNA is filed under the name Cytobacillus firmus. RNAcentral's name for it is "Bacillus firmus tRNA-Thr". It matches the Rfam family "tRNA". Rfam says of the family: Transfer RNA (tRNA) molecules are approximately 80 nucleotides in length. Their secondary structure includes four short double-helical elements and three loops (D, anti-codon, and T loops). Further hydrogen bonds mediate the characteristic L-shaped molecular structure. tRNAs have two regions of fundamental functional importance: the anti-codon, which is responsible for specific mRNA codon recognition, and the 3' end, to which the tRNAs corresponding amino acid is attached (by aminoacyl-tRNA synthetases). tRNAs cope with the degeneracy of the genetic code in two manners: having more than one tRNA (with a specific anti-codon) for a particular amino acid; and 'wobble' base-pairing, i.e. permitting non-standard base-pairing at the 3rd anti-codon position. RNAcentral also lists the same sequence under 2 other names. The record is from RNAcentral. Lineage: Bacteria; Bacillati; Bacillota; Bacilli; Caryophanales; Bacillaceae.
GCCGGCGUAGCUCAAUUGGUAGAGCAACUGACUUGUAAUCAGUAGGUUGGGGGUUCAAGUCCUCUCACCGGCA